RNAcentral lists this long non-coding RNA (201 nucleotides) under Erythranthe guttata (spotted monkey flower). Its description in RNAcentral is "long non-coding RNA (EGUT_LNC003012)". Lineage: Eukaryota; Viridiplantae; Streptophyta; Magnoliopsida; Lamiales; Phrymaceae. The record is from RNAcentral.
UUAAAUCAAACCAAAUCCCAAAAAAUCUCUCUAUCAUAACAAAUUUCCAAACAUAUCUCUUCCAAAUAUUAACUAAAACAAAUACAUUAAUUCAUAACGAAAAUAUACAAUUUAUUUUACAAACUCAUACUCUAGAAACGUCACCGUAGCCCCACCACCGCCUAUGAUCCGGGAACUGCGACGUCUAUGACUCCGCGAACU